RNAcentral lists this ribosomal RNA (486 nucleotides) under uncultured bacterium. RNAcentral describes it as "partial 16S ribosomal RNA". It matches the Rfam family "Bacterial small subunit ribosomal RNA", at positions 29 to 507 of the family's 1533-position model. The record is from RNAcentral.
AUUGAACGCUGGCGGCAUGCUUUACACAUGCAAGUCGAGCGGCAGCGCGGGGGCAACCCUGGCGGCGAGCGGCGAACGGGUGAGUAAUGCAUCGGAACGUAUCCUCGAGUGGGGGAUAACCCAGCGAAAGUUGGGCUAAUACCGCAUGAGCUCUGAGGAGGAAAGCGGGGGACCUGCGAGGGCCUCGCGCUGGAGGAGCGGCCGAUGUCCGAUUAGCGAGUUGGUGGGGUAAAGGCCUACCAAGGCGACGAUCGGUAACUGGUCUGAGAGGAUGAUCAGCCACACUGGAACUGAGACACGGGCCAGACUCCUAAGGGAGGCAGCAGUGGGGAAUAUUGGACAAUGGGGGAAAGCCUGAUCCAACCAUGCCGCGGGGGUGAAAAAGGUCUUCGGGUUUUAAAGCACUUUAAGGUGGGAGGAAAAGGGGUGAGUUAAAACCUCGCUGUUUUGACGUGACCAGCAGAAAAAGCACCGGCUAAAUUCGUG